This 469-nucleotide ribosomal RNA is filed under the name uncultured bacterium. Its description in RNAcentral is "partial 16S ribosomal RNA". It matches the Rfam family "Bacterial small subunit ribosomal RNA", at positions 28 to 507 of the family's 1533-position model. The record is from RNAcentral.
GAUGAACGCUGGCGGCGUGCUUAACACAUGCAAGUCGAACGGUGAACACGGAGCUUGCUCUGUGGGAUCAGUGGCGAACGGGUGAGUAACACGUGAGCAACCUGCCCCUGACUCUGGGAUAAGCGCUGGAAACGGCGUCUAAUACUGGAUAUGUGACGUGACCGCAUGGUCUGCGUUUGGAAAGAUUUUUCGGUUGGGGAUGGGCUCGCGGCCUAUCAGCUUGUUGGUGAGGUAAUGGCUCACCAAGGCGUCGACGGGUAGCCGGCCUGGGAGGGUGACCGGCCACACUGGGACUGAGACACGGCCCAGACUGCUACGGGGGGCAGCAGUGGGGAAUAUUGCACAAUGGGCUCACGCCUGAUGCAGCAACCCCGCGUGAGGGAUGACGGCCUUCGGGUUGUAAACCUCUUUUAGCAGGGAAGAAGCGAAAGUGACGGUACCUGCAGAAAAAGCGCCGGCUCACUACGUG